RNAcentral lists this ribosomal RNA (350 nucleotides) under uncultured bacterium. Its description in RNAcentral is "bacterial SSU rRNA". It matches the Rfam family "Bacterial small subunit ribosomal RNA", at positions 1002 to 1351 of the family's 1533-position model. The record is from RNAcentral.
AGAGAUAGAUUGGUGCCUUCGGGAACAUUGAGACAGGUGCUGCAUGGCUGUCGUCAGCUCGCGUCGUGAGAUGUUGGGUUAAGUCCCGUAACGAGCGCAACCCUUGUCCUUAGUUACCAGCACGUAAUGGUGGGCACUCUAAGGAGACUGCCGGUGACAAACCGGAGGAAGGUGGGGAUGACGUCAAGUCAUCAUGGCCCUUACGGCCUGGGCUACACACGUGCUACAAUGGUCGGUACAGAGGGUUGCCAAGCCGCGAGGUGGAGCUAAUCCCACAAAACCGAUCGUAGUCCGGAUCGCAGUCUGCAACUCGACUGCGUGAAGUCGGAAUCGCUAGUAAUCGCGAAUCA